AAUCAACGCUGGCGGCGUGCCUAACACAUGCAAGUCGCACGAGAAAGGGACUUCGGUCCUGAGUACAGUGGCGCACGGGUGAGUAACACGUGAAUAAUCUACCUCCGAGUGGGGAAUAACUGAGAGAAAUCUUAGCUAAUACCGCAUAACACUUACGAGUCAAAGCAGCAAUGCGCUUGGAGAGGAGUUCGCGGCAGAUUAGUUAGUUGGCAGGGUAANGGCCUACCAAGACGAUGAUCUGUAUCCGGCCUGAGAGGGCGCACGGACACACUGGAACUGAAACACGGUCCAGACUCCUACGGGAGGCAGCAGUGGGGAAUUUUGCGCAAUGGGGGAAACCCUGACGCAGCAACGCCGCGUGGAGGAUGAAAUCCCUUGGGAUGUAAACUCCUUUCGAUCGGGAAGAUAAUGACGGUACCGAGAGAAGAAGCCCCGGCUAACUUCGUGCCAGCAGCCGCAGUAAG
Molecule: ribosomal RNA, 464 nt
Filed under: uncultured bacterium
Lineage: Bacteria
Description: bacterial SSU rRNA
Rfam family: Bacterial small subunit ribosomal RNA
Source: RNAcentral